Molecule: non-coding RNA, 82 nt
Organism: Myotisia sp. PD_48
Lineage: Eukaryota; Fungi; Ascomycota; Eurotiomycetes; Onygenales
Source: the annotation of a GenBank genome assembly
GCUCUUGUGGUCUAGUGGUAUGAUUCUCGCUUUGGGUAUUCCAAUCUGCGAGAGGUCUCGCGUUCGAAUCGCGGCAGGAGCC